UAUCUGGUUGAUCCUGCCAGUAGUCAUAUGCUUGUCUCAAAGAUUAAGCCAUGCAUGUCUAAGUAUAAGCACUUGUACUGUGAAACUGCGAAUGGCUCAUUAAAUCAGUUAUCGUUUAUUUGAUUGUACCUUUACUACUUGGAUAACCGUGGUAAUUCUAGAGCUAAUACAUGCGAAAAGUCCCGACUUCUGGAAGGGAUGUAUUUAUUAGAUUCAAAACCAAUGCGGGUUCUGCCCGGUCA
RNAcentral lists this non-coding RNA (242 nucleotides) under Nematostella vectensis (starlet sea anemone). RNAcentral's name for it is "Eukaryotic small subunit ribosomal RNA". It matches the Rfam family "Eukaryotic small subunit ribosomal RNA", at positions 1 to 244 of the family's 1831-position model. Lineage: Eukaryota; Metazoa; Cnidaria; Anthozoa; Actiniaria; Edwardsiidae. The record is from Rfam by way of RNAcentral.